UACGGAGGGUGCGAGCGUUGUCCGGAAUCAUUGGGCGUAAAGGGCGCGUAGGUGGCCCGGUCAGUUUGUGGUGAAAGCGCGGGGCUCAACUCCGCGUCGGCCAUGAAUACUGCUGGGCUGGAGCACUGUAGAGGCAGGCGGAAUUCCGGGUGUAGCGGUGGAAUGCGUAGAGAUCCGGAAGAACACCGGUGGCGAAGGCGGCCUGCUGGGCAGUUGCUGACACUGAGGCGCGACAGCGUGGGGAGCAAACAGG
This 253-nucleotide ribosomal RNA is filed under the name uncultured bacterium. Its description in RNAcentral is "partial 16S ribosomal RNA". It matches the Rfam family "Bacterial small subunit ribosomal RNA", at positions 524 to 776 of the family's 1533-position model. The record is from RNAcentral.